RNAcentral lists this non-coding RNA (148 nucleotides) under Gorilla gorilla gorilla (western lowland gorilla). Lineage: Eukaryota; Metazoa; Chordata; Mammalia; Primates; Hominidae. The record is from Rfam by way of RNAcentral.
GCCGGGUGUGGUGGCGGGCGCCUGUAGUCCCAGCUACUCGGGAGGCUGAGGCAGGAGAAUUGCAUGAACCCGGGAGGCGGAGGUUGCAGUGAGCCGAGAUGGUGCCACUGCACUCCAGCCUGGGUAACAGAGCGAGACUCUGUCUCAA